Molecule: ribosomal RNA, 228 nt
Filed under: uncultured bacterium
Lineage: Bacteria
Description: partial 16S ribosomal RNA
Rfam family: Bacterial small subunit ribosomal RNA
Source: RNAcentral
UGCGUAGGCGGCGUUGUAAGUCAGAUGUGAAAGCCCACCGCUUAACGGUGGAACUGCAUUUGAUACUGCAGUGCUUGAAUCAGGCUGAGGUCAGCGGAAUGUGUCAUGUAGCGGUGAAAUGCAUAGAUAUGACAUAGAACACCAAUUGCGAAGGCAGCUGGCUAGACCUGUAUUGACGCUGAGGCACGAAAGCGUGGGGAGCGAACAGGAUUAGAUACCCUGGUAGUC